RNAcentral lists this ribosomal RNA (292 nucleotides) under uncultured bacterium. Its description in RNAcentral is "partial 16S ribosomal RNA". It matches the Rfam family "Bacterial small subunit ribosomal RNA", at positions 505 to 796 of the family's 1533-position model. The record is from RNAcentral.
GUGCCAGCCGCCGCGGUAAUACGUAGGUGGCAAGCGAUACUCGGAAUCACUAGGCGUAAAGCGCAGGUAGGAGGUUUAGUAAGUCUGUUGUGAAAGCUCCCGGCUUAACUGGGAGAGGUCAACGGAAACUGCUAGGCUAGAGUGCGGUAGAGGUAGCUGGAAUUCCCGGUGUAGCGGUGAAAUGCGUAGAUAUCGGGAGGAAUACCUAUGGCGAAAGCAGGCUACUGGACCGUCACUGACUCUGAUCUGCGAAAGCUAGGGGAGCAAACAGGAUUAGAUACCCCCGUAGUCC